This 194-nucleotide ribosomal RNA is filed under the name uncultured bacterium. Its description in RNAcentral is "partial 16S ribosomal RNA". It matches the Rfam family "Bacterial small subunit ribosomal RNA", at positions 338 to 524 of the family's 1533-position model. RNAcentral also lists the same sequence under 1 other name. The record is from RNAcentral.
CCUACGGGAGGCAGCAGUAGGGAAUCUUCCACAAUGGGCGAAAGCCUGAUGGAGCAACGCCGCGUGUGUGAUGAAGGGUUUCGGCUCGUAAAACACUGUUGUAAGAGAAGAAUGACAUUGAGAGUAACUGUUCAAUGUGUGACGGUAUCUUACCAGAAAGGAACGGCUAAAUACGUGCCAGCAGCCGCGGUAAU